CUCAGCUACUUGGGAGGCUGAGGCAGGAGAAUCGCUUGAACCCGGGAGGCGGAGGUUGCAGUGAGCUGAGAUCGUGCCAUUGCACUCCAGCCUGGGUGACACAGCAAGACUCCAUCUCAAAUAAAAAAAAAAAAAAAACUACAGAAACUGGGUUGUGGGCCCAGACCUGAGUUUUAUUGAGUGAUAACUUUUUCACUGACUUUAGUUAUUCACUGUAUGAUUUUGGGAGAGUCUCUGGACCUCAUACCCAUCUUCAAAACCAGAAAAAGGAGUAAGAAUAGUGAGUAUGAAAAGUAUAUUUAAAAUCCUCUAAGCACAAGUCAUUUUUCUCCACAUUCACCUUCUGUCACUAGAAAUAACUUCUACCAUCUCUGCUCAUUUGUGAGAGUAAACUACAGAGAGGAUCCUUAGGUUAAGUUCUUAAUUUUAUGGAAGAAAAUUAAUGCAAUUAGAGUUUGGAGGCAUUUUGUACUUCAGGUAUUUAUAGGACAGAUAAAAAUCCCAAAUGUAUAAAAUCCUCCCUACCACUAAUAUAAUAAAGAUUCUCGACCUGGUGCAGUGGCUCACGCUUGUAAUCCCAGCACUUUGGGAGGCCGAGGCAGGUGGAUCACUUGAGCCCAGGAGUACGAGACCAGCCUGGGCGACAUCGUGAGACCCUGUCUUAAAAAAAAAAAAAAGAUUCUCUUUUAUCCUGAUCUUCUCCCCCAAACCAAAGCCUUAUCCCCAGUCUCUAUAGUGCAAAAGGCCAUGCUGCAGUAUUUGAUUAAACAGUCCUAGCUGUUGUGUUUCAGACUUUCAGGUUUCCCCAAGGGCUGAGAGUCUUGGGGCCUAGGAGCCAUCCCCAGAUUCCAGAGGGAAAGGCAAGAAAGCAAGAGUGAAGCAUUGUGGGUAAUGGCAGGUCUUUUCAUACACAAAACAGAAAAUAGCAACCCGAGACACACACAGUAAAAAUAAAGAGGAAGACAAGCCAAGAAAUCGGAACUGGGUCCUGUCCAAGAAGUCCAUCAGCCAACCACAAGGGCCAGGGUUAAAAGGUCAACCCUGCAAUUUUCUGGGGCAGGAGAGGUAGCUAUUCAUUUAAUCAUAUAUUCAUUGAGCAUCAGGCACUGUAAUAGGCCCUGGGGAUUAAAAAAAAAAAAAGUGAGCAAGACGGAUGCACACCCUAUCUUCACACAGCUUGAAGAGCAAAGAAUAUCUCAGCACCUGCUGUGAACAAGGCCCUGGACUGGACGUGGGCAUUCAGCCUUUGUUGGUGUACAGCAGUUCCACAGCUUCGCCUAAGUCAAAAUAAACAUGGGAUCCAAGCAGUUGCCCUUUUAAAAGACUUCGUUUCACACAAUGUAGAUAAAACAACCUCCAGGAUUGCCAGAUAAAAUGCAGGGCCAGCUAAAUUUGAAUUUCAGAUAAACAACGGACAAUUGUUUAGUACAAAUAUGUCCCACGUUUCAGAUAAACAGUGAUUUUUUUUUAACUACAGUAAGUUUCAUGUAAUAUUUAGGAUAUAUUUACAACAGAGAAUCAUUUCAUUGUGUGAAAUAAAAUAAUUCAAACUUAAAGCUGUUGAAACUUUAAAUUAUUCUGAGCUUUGAGAGGGACAUGGCUAUAUGGCAUGAGUCAAGCAGCAUGUAGUUGUAACUUCUGCUUUUUCCUGUAAGUGAUCUGGAAUGAUUGAGGCGUGCCAGAGAUAAGACCCCUGAGAACAUUACACCUCCUCACAGAAUAUUAAAGGAAUCUUCCUUGGAAUGUAGCAAGUUAAACUAAUCAAAUUGUUACAACUGUUUCUGCCUAUAUAAGUGAAAUCUUGGCCUCCUCACUUUGGAGCACUGACCCCAUUCCUUUGGAAUCAUGUUUCGCGAUGGCUAUCCUCAAGCUUUGUGCUGCAGUAAACUUUAUACUUAGUCAUAUUUUCUGAAUCUCAUUAUUGAAGGUUGACAUUUGUUUAACUGAAAUUCAGGUUUAACUGGGAGUCUUUUAUUUUAUUUGCUAAAUCUGGCAACCUUCUCAACCUCAUACUUUUCUUUCUUUCUUUCCUUUUUUGAGACAGAGUCUCACUCUGUUGCCCAGGCUGGAGUGCAGUGGCAUGAUCUCACUGCAACCUCCGCCUCCCGGGUUUAAGCUAUUCUUUUCCUCAACCUCCCCUAUAGCUGAGAUUACAGGUGCAUGGCACCACGCCCAGCUAAUUUUUGUAUUUUUAGUGGAGACAGCAUUUCACUAUGUUGGCCAGGCUGGUCUCGAACUCCUGACCUCAGGUGAUCCACCCGACUCAGACUCCCAAAGUGCUGGCAUUACAGGUGUGAGCCACCGCGCCCAGCUCAACCUCAUAGUUUUCUGUUAACACUUUCUGGCUCCUUUUUCAUAAUGUGCACAGAAAUCUAUGUUUCUUCAAAGGUAGUAAACUCUUACACACUUCACCCCUUAACUUUUUAUCAGUUUGAUUUGCCUUUUUUUUUUUGAGAUGGAUUUUCACUCUUUUUGCCCAGGCUGGAGUGCAGUGGCAUGAUCUCACCUCACCACAACCUCUGCCUCCCGGAUUCAAGAAAUUCUCCUGCCUUAGCCUCCCAAGUAGCUGGGAUUUCAGGCAUGCGCCACCAUGCUGAGCUAAUUUUGUAUUUUUAGUAGAGACAGUGUUUCACCAUGUUGGUCAGGCUGGUCUCGAACUCCCGACCUCAGGUAAUCCGCCCGCCUCAGCCUCCCAAAGUGCUGGGAUUACAGGUGUGAGCCACUGCACCUGGCUUGAUUUGCCUUUUAAAUCCCCCUUUUCUUUUCUUUCUUUUUUUUUUUUUGAGACAGCAUCUCUCUCUGUUGCCCAGGCUGGAGUGCAAUGGCGUGAUCUCGGCUCACUGCAACCUCCGCCUCCCGGGUUCAAGCAAUUCUCCUGCCUCAGCCUCCUGAGUAGCUGGGACUACAGGUGCGUGCCACCACGCCUGGCUAAAUUUUAUAUUUUUAAUAGAGAUGGGGUUUCACCAUGUUGGCCAGGAUGGUCUCGAUCUCUUGACUUUGUGAUCUGCCCACCUCGGCCUCCCAAAGUGCUGGGAUUACAGGUGUGAAGCCACCGUGCCCAGCCUAAAUCCCCCUUUUCUUAGUUUUGAGAUAUAUUUGAUAAUAAAAGACACAUACUGAAAGUAUGCAGUUUAUACAGGUGUACAGGAUAUAUACCUGUGAAAACACUACGAUAAUCUGAAUAAAUAUUAUUAUAUAUUCAUUAUUUUCUAAAGUUUUCUUGCUCACCUUUGUAAUCCUUACCCCCCACCUACUAUCUAGGCAACUACUGAUCUGUUUUCUGUUGCUGUAGAUUAAUUUGCAUUUUCUAGUAUUUUUAAUAAAUGGAAUCAUACAGUAUAUACUUUUUAACUGGAUUAUUUCACAUAGCAUAACUGUUUUUUAUUUGUAUGCCUUUUCUUUUUCUUGCCUUAUUGCACUGACUAGGGACUCUAGUAUCAUGUUUAAUUGGAGUAGUGAAAGUGAACAUCUUUGCCUUGUUCCCAACCCCAGAGGGAAAGCGUUCAGUCUUUCAACAUUAAGUAUGAUGCUAAUUUUUAAAAAUGCCUUUUUUUAGGUUGAGGAAGUUCCCUUCUACUCCUGAUUUGCUGAGAGUUAAUCAUGAAUAAAUGCUGAGUUUUAUCUGAUGCUUUUUCUGUAUCUAGAGAUUAUCAAAAGGUUUUUCUUGCAAAAUGUAUUAAUAUGGCGAAUUACAUUGGCUAUCAAAUUUUGAAUGUUGAUUUUGUUUUUGAAUGUUGAUGUUCCAAAUAUUGCAUUUUUGGGAUAAACCUACUUGGUCAUGGUAUAUUAUCCUUUUUACAUGUUGUUGGAUUUGACUUGCUAAUAUUUUGCCAAGAAUUUUGUCUUUUCAUGAGUGACACUGGUAUGUAAUUUCCUUUUCUUGUAAUUCAUUUGUCUGUUUCUUAUGUUAACUCUUUUGCUUUUCAAAAGAGGAUAUCUAGAAAUCAUAUUGAUGUAAUAUGUAUUAUACUGG
Molecule: long non-coding RNA, 3973 nt
Filed under: Homo sapiens (human)
Lineage: Eukaryota; Metazoa; Chordata; Mammalia; Primates; Hominidae
Description: HSALNT0067615
Source: RNAcentral